CAAAACUAUGAUGUGGAAAUGAUAAGGAAAAGGUUAAAGUAAAAUAUUAACCAGCGCAGUGGUUCUUUGAGGAAGGUACCCUCAUGGACAAUGGAGAAUCCAUUCUUACAGGCAUUAAGUUAGCUUUAUUUUUAUCAAUUCCAAUUGCUUUCCAGAAAAGAUAGUUUUAUUUUUAGUUCAAGAAAACAAGACUUGAUUUAUUUCUCUGUAAAUACGUGCAAAAUCUGCUGUUGGGAAAUAUGUUACACCACGGUUCCAUUCCUGUGAACUGGUCGUAAGCCAAAAAGUUUGCAAAGCAGAGAGAUUACCGAAGGAGACCACUCAGGCAGAUUAUAUCUGUAAGAGUCCAACUGGCAAGAUGCCUGCAGGCUGGGAGCCUUCCACUGGUUACCACAGUGACAUGAUCCAUUGAUUCACAUCAUGGUGAAAGUAUUGAAAAUUCU
This is a long non-coding RNA of Mobula hypostoma (lesser devil ray), 443 nucleotides long. RefSeq lists it as uncharacterized. The record is from RefSeq and is a predicted model, not a curated record. NCBI's taxonomy places the organism in Eukaryota, Metazoa, Chordata, Chondrichthyes, Myliobatiformes, Myliobatidae. The transcript has 3 exons.